This 468-nucleotide ribosomal RNA is filed under the name uncultured bacterium. RNAcentral's name for it is "partial 16S ribosomal RNA". It matches the Rfam family "Bacterial small subunit ribosomal RNA", at positions 28 to 507 of the family's 1533-position model. The record is from RNAcentral.
GACGAACGCUGGCGGCGUGCUUAACACAUGCAAGUCGAACGGAAAGGCCCUGCUUUUGUGGGGUGCUCGAGUGGCGAACGGGUGAGUAACACGUGAGUAACCUGCCCUUGACUUUGGGAUAACUUAAGGAAACUGGGGCUAAUACCGGAUAGGAGCUCCUGCUGCAUGGUGGGGGUUGGAAAGUUUCGGCGGUUGGGGAUGGACUCGCGGCUUACGAGCUUGUUGGUGGGGGAGUGGCUGACCAAGGCUUUGACGGGUAGCCGGCCUGAGAGGGUGGCCGGCCACAUUGGGACUGCGAUACGGCGCAGACGCCUACGGUAGGCAGCAGUGGGGAAUAUUGCACAAUGGGCGGAAGCCUGAUGCAGCAACGCCGCGUGCGGGAUGACGGCCUUCGGGGUGUAAACCGCUUUCGCCUGUGACGAAGCGUGAGUGACGGUAAUGGGUAAAGAAGCACCGGCUAACUACGUG